Molecule: long non-coding RNA, 1247 nt
Organism: Camellia sinensis
Lineage: Eukaryota; Viridiplantae; Streptophyta; Magnoliopsida; Ericales; Theaceae
Source: RefSeq, a predicted model, not a curated record
AGAGGAAAGCAGUCAGGAGAGAUUUAGUUCUCCAGCACAAAACAAUGCAUGGCUCGUGUUGCAGUUGCAGCCACACCUUCAAGGGCUAGCUAGAUUCCUCAUCAAAUACAGGUCAAACCCUAGAUCAGUAUAUUUACCUCUCUGAUGAUCUUGGUUCUUUCUUCCGAAUCUCCUAUUUUCUGAUGAUGAUGUGUUGGUUUGAGAGCUUGAAGCUGCCAGCAUGAUCUAGUGAGACCAAACCCAUCUUUUCUUUGAGUUUCUUUCUUUCCUUUUAUAUUUUCAAAGUUUUUUAAAUAUUCAUCGAUACGUAUUGAUAUUUUAAAUAUGCCCCAAUAGCAUGUUUGGUGAUAAUGUCUGGUAUCGACUGAUAUACCAAUCUUUUUUCUUUUUUCUUUUUCUUUUUUCUUUUUGAGUUUCUCUCUUUCUUUCAUCUUUUCAAUAGAGGGUUUUAAAUACUAAUCGAUACGGAUCGGGACAUUGAAUUUCCCUUUUGAUAUUGAUCGAUACUGUUAUUUAAAAUCAUAUUCCAAUAUUGAUGGGCCAGAUGAUAGAUGUGGAUCUUGUUGAUCUUGAUUUUUUUUAGUGAAUAAAUGGUGGGUUUUUAGUGGGAUGUUAUGGAUGAGUGAGACUGCUAGUUAGGUUUGUUUUCCCAGUUUAUUUUGAGACAACCAAGGGUUUUUUUUAAGUCUGCCUUUGAAACGACAACCGAUAGAAUUGGAACGAUACAAAAAAAAAAAAAAAAAAAAAAAAGAUUUUGAGUUCGAGCUGCAUAGACACAUGGUUCUACUAGAUCAUCUUGCAGCUUCAAUCACUCACUUCCCAACAAUAAGAAGAAUUUCCUCCUCUUGUUUGCCGUUUCAAUCCGGGAGGAUGAUGGCAAGAGUUGUUGAAAUUUCAAGCUUAAUGAUUCACUGGUUCUCAGCUGGCUUGGGUGACACGUGGCAGAAGUCCAUUGGAACAACCCUUUAAGCAACCUAUCAUGCUGUGACACGUGGCAUAGAGGUCCUUUUGUCCUUGGGUGGUCAAAGCAAAAUAUUCAACGAAAUAUGCUUGAAUUCAAUUUCCAACAUAGGAGGGCACUAUAAAUGUGGGUAGUACUACUUCUAGAUGAUGUGCAAGUGUGAAUUGGGAAAGUAGUAAAUUAAUAAGAGAAUUGUUAUAUGUAAUCCAUUUUUUUAUAUUUGUAUCAUUGUCAAUAUAAAUAUUUAAUAUAAUUCAAUAAUAUCUUCUAAUAUGUUUAGCAUUCA